This is a long non-coding RNA of Cannabis sativa, 261 nucleotides long. RefSeq lists it as uncharacterized. NCBI's taxonomy places the organism in Eukaryota, Viridiplantae, Streptophyta, Magnoliopsida, Rosales, Cannabaceae. The transcript has 3 exons. The record is from RefSeq and is a predicted model, not a curated record.
CAAUUUUCACUUAUUUUUUUUCUCUCAAAAGAAUCUCAAUUUGCCUCAACAGUCUCAACAAAUCUGAAGAGCAAUUCACAUAGUUGUUAAGUGUUUCAACUGGUUAGGUGUUUCAAAGAAUUUCAAAAAGGAUACAAGGAAUCAGUACAUACAAACACAAACAGGAUAAACAAAAUAGUUUUUUCACGCAACUGGAACCAAGUAAAGAAAAAGAUCAACCCUCAUCUUCACAAAAACCCACUCAAUCGUCCUCAAAUUUAG